UACAGAGGUCUCGAGCGUUAGGCGGAAUCACUGGGCUUAAAGCGUGUGUAGGCGGGUCGUUAAGUGCCUUGUGAAAUCCCAUGGCUCAACCAUGGAACUGCUGGGCAUACUGGCGAUCUUGUGCCACCUAGGGGCGAGCGGAACAGAUGGUGGAGCGGUGAAAUGCGUAGAUAUCAGGAAGAACACCUAUGGCGAAGGCAGCUCUCUGGGACGGUACUGACGCUGAGACGCGAAAGCGUGGGGAGCGAACAGG
Molecule: ribosomal RNA, 253 nt
Filed under: uncultured bacterium
Lineage: Bacteria
Description: partial 16S ribosomal RNA
Rfam family: Bacterial small subunit ribosomal RNA
Source: RNAcentral